RNAcentral lists this ribosomal RNA (253 nucleotides) under uncultured bacterium. RNAcentral's name for it is "partial 16S ribosomal RNA". It matches the Rfam family "Bacterial small subunit ribosomal RNA", at positions 524 to 776 of the family's 1533-position model. The record is from RNAcentral.
UACGAAGGGGGCUAGCGUUGCUCGGAAUCACUGGGCGUAAAGGGCGCGUAGGCGGAUCUUUAAGUCGGGGGUGAAAGCCUGAGGCUCAACCUCAGAAUUGCCUUCGAUACUGGAGAUCUUGAGACCGGAAGAGGUAAGUGGAACUGCGAGUGUAGAGGUGAAAUUCGUAGAUAUUCGCAAGAACACCAGUGGCGAAGGCGGCUUACUGGACCGGUACUGACGCUGAGGCGCGAAAGCGUGGGGAGCAAACAGG